This 412-nucleotide unclassified non-coding RNA is filed under the name uncultured Atheliaceae. Its description in RNAcentral is "sequence contains ITS2". The stretch from base 1 to 155 matches the Rfam family "5.8S ribosomal RNA". The record is from RNAcentral. Lineage: Eukaryota; Fungi; Basidiomycota; Agaricomycetes; Atheliales; Atheliaceae.
AACUUUUAACAACGGAUCACUUGGCUCUCGAAUCGAUGAAGAACGCAGCGAAAUGCGAUAAGUAAUGUGAAUUGCAGAUUUUCAGUGAAUCACCGAAUCUUUGAACGCACCUUGCGCUCCUUGGUAUUCCGAGGAGCAUGCCUGUUUGAGUGUCAUUAAAUCAUCAACCCCACCGAUUUGUUUCGGCUUGGGGCUUGGACUUGGAGCGUUCUGGUGAAGGUCGGCUCCUCUUUAAAUGCAUCAGCGGAAGAACGCAUCUUUUUUCCCUUCAGCGUGAUAAUCCUGUUGCGCUGUGUGUGGGUCAAAGGUGUUCCGCUUAUAAUUGUCCUUCGGACAAACGACCCCAUCUAUUUUUGACCUCAAAUCAGGUAGGACUACCCGCUGAACUUAAGCAUAUCAAUAAGCGGAGGCU